Molecule: long non-coding RNA, 1368 nt
Filed under: Taeniopygia guttata (zebra finch)
Lineage: Eukaryota; Metazoa; Chordata; Aves; Passeriformes; Estrildidae
Description: lncRNA (ENSTGUG00000029107.1)
Source: RNAcentral
CCCCAAACCGCCUUUUCCCCCAUUUUUAACCCUUUCUCCACCAUUUUUUGCCCGUUUUUUGCCCGAUUUUCGCCGUUUUUUGCCCAAUUUUCGCCGUUUUUGCCCCAUUUUUUCGCCCUUUUCCCCCUCCCAGUACAAACCAGUACAAACCAGUAUAAACCAGUACUAAACCAGUCCCACCUGGGGGUACUCCCAGCCGAGGCUCUCCAGGCGCUGCCGCAGCCGCCGCUGCCGAAGCCGCUCCGCCCCCAAAAGUUCCCCCAAAUUUGGGCGAAUUUGGGGCAUUUUGGGGAAAAAUUUGGGGUUUUUGGGAUUUUCGGGGGUUUGGGAAAGAUUUUUGGGGGUUUUGGGGUCGGUUUUGGGGCAAAAUUCGGGGUUUUUGGGGAGGUUUUGGGGGAGAUUUUCGGGUUUUUGGGGGAGGUUUUCGGGGUGAAUUUGGGGGAUUUUGGGGUUUUUGGGGAGAUUUUCGGGGAUUUUGGGGAAGUUUUGGGGGUUUUUGGGGAGAUUUUCAGGGAUUUUGGGGUUUUGGGGGAGAUUUUCGGGGUUUUGGGGGAAAUUUUGGGGGUUUUUGGGGAGAUUUUCGGGUUUUUUAGGGAAGAUUUCGGGGAAAGUUUUGGGGUCGAUUUCGAAGUUUUGGGAGAAAUUUUUGGGGUUUUUGGGGUCGAUUUUGGGGGUUUUGGGGAAGUUUUGGGAGAUUUUGGGGAGAUUUUCGGGGUUUUUGGGGGUAAUUUCGGGGUUUUUAGUGAAGUUUUGGGAGAUUUUGGGGAGAUUUUCAGGGUUUUUUGGGAAGUUUUGGGGGUUUUUGGGGAGAUUUUCGGGGUUUUUAGGGAAGAUUUGGGGGAAAUUUUUGGGGUUUUUGGGGUCAAUUUCGGGAUUUUUGGGGAAGUUUUUGGGGUUUUUGGGGAGAUUUUCGGGGUUUUUGGGGAAGUUUUGGGAGAUUUUGGGGAGAUUUUCGGGAUUUUGGGGCAAUUCAGGAGGAAUUUGGAGGGGAAUUUUGAGGGAAUUUUCAGGGUUUUUGGAGAGGAUUUGGGGAAUUUCUGUGGAAUUUUCGGGGUUUUUUGGGGCGUUUUGGGGGAUUUGGAGAUUUUUGGGUGGAAUUUGGGGGAUUUUGGAAGGAUUUGGGGGAUUUUUGGGGGGUCCCAGGAGGAAAUCCCAAAUCUGUUCCCGUUUCUCCCUCAGGCGCCGCUGCAGCUCCGGGAGCAGCCGGGGCAGGAUCGGGGAGACCUGGAAAAUGGGGCAAAAAACGGGAAUUUUGGGAAAAUUUGGGGGAUUUUGGGAAAAUUUGGGGGAUUUGAGGAAAAUUUGGGGGAUUUUGGGGAAUUUUGGGGGAUUUUGAGGGAAAUUUGGGGGAUUUGGGGGGAAAUUUGA